Molecule: ribosomal RNA, 469 nt
Filed under: Blastocystis sp.
Lineage: Eukaryota; Bigyra; Opalinata; Blastocystidae
Description: SSU rRNA
Rfam family: Eukaryotic small subunit ribosomal RNA
Source: RNAcentral
AUAAAUCACAAUGCGGAACUUCUGUUUUGCAAUUGGAUUGAGAACAACGCACAACAUUUAUCGAUAAACAAUUGGAGGGCAAGUCUGGUGCCAGCAGCCGCGGUAAUUCCAGCUCCAAUAGCGUAUAUUAACGUUGUUGCAGUUAAAAAGCUCGUAGUUGAAGUGAAGUGUGAAUCUCUUGGAUUUUCGUUUGAAUUUCCUUUUGCUUCAUACUCUUUCCAAAUAGUUUGCAUGGGUAUUUACUUAUCUGUGUAUUGCAUUUGGUCAUUUACUGUGAGAAAAUUAGAGUGUUCAAAGCAUACGUUUGUUUGAAUACAUUAGCAUGGAAUAAUUCGAAAAGGCUUUCAUGUUCGAUUUGAUUGGUUUGUUCGUGAAGGCAAGAUUAAAAGGGACAGUUGGGGGUAUUCAUAUUCAAUAGUCAGAGGUGAAAUUCUCGGAUUUAUGGAAGAUGAACAAGGGCCGAAAGCAA